AGAAUCAACGCUGGCGGCGUGCCUAACACAUGCAAGUCGAACGAGAAAGUCCGCAAGGACAAGUAAAGUGGCGACCGGGUGAGUAACACGUGACUAACCUACCUUUUAGUGGGGGAUAACUCCGGGAAACCGGGGCUAAUACCGCAUAACAUCGCAAGAUCAAAGCAGCAAUGCGCUGGAAGAGGGGGUCGCGGCUGAUUAGCUAGUUGGCGGGGUAAUGGCCCACCAAGGCGAAGAUCGGUAUCCGGCCUGAGAGGGCGCACGGACACACUGGAACUGAAACACGGUCCAGACUCCUACGGGAGGCAGCAGUGGGGAAUUUGCGCAAUGGGGGAAACCCUGACGCAGCAACGCCGCGUGGAGGAUGAAGUCCCUUGGGACGUAAACUCCUUUCGACCAAGACGAUAAUGACGGUACUGGUGGAAGAAGCACCGGCUAACUCUGCGCCAGCAGCCGC
RNAcentral lists this ribosomal RNA (457 nucleotides) under uncultured bacterium. RNAcentral's name for it is "SSU rRNA". It matches the Rfam family "Bacterial small subunit ribosomal RNA", at positions 26 to 518 of the family's 1533-position model. The record is from RNAcentral.